UUAGAGUUUGAUCCUGGCUCAGGAUGAACGCUAGCUACAGGCUUAACACAUGCAAGUCGAGGGGCAGCGGGUUGAAAGCUUGCUUUCAAUGCCGGCGACCGGCGCACGGGUGCGUAACGCGUAUCAAACCUGCCUCAUACUCGGGGAUAGCCUUGCGAAAGUAAGAUUAAUACCCGAUGUUGUUGCUUUCUCGCAUGGGAGGGUAACCAAAGAUUUAUCGGUAUGAGAUGGUGAUGCGUCCGAUUAGGUAGUAGGCGGGGUAACGGCCCACCUAGCCUUCGAUCGGUAGGGGUUCUGAGAGGAAGGUCCCCCACACUGGAACUGAGACACGGUCCAGACUCCUACGGGAGGCAGCAGUGAGGAAUAUUGGUCAAUGGGCGAGAGCCUGAACCAGCCAAGUAGCGUGCAGGAUGACGGCCCUCCGGGUUGUAAACUGCUUUUAGUUGGGAAUAAAAAAAGGGACUUGUCCCUUCUUGUAUGUACCUUCAGAAAAAGGACCGGCUAAUUCCGUGCCAGCAGCCGCGGUAAUACGGAAGGUCCAGGCGUUAUCCGGAUUUAUUGGGUUUAAAGGGAGCGUAGGCGGAUUGUUAAGUCAGCGGUUAAAGGGUGUGGCUCAACCAUGCAUUGCCGUUGAAACUGGCGAUCUUGAGUGCAGACAGGGAUGCCGGAAUUCGUGGUGUAGCGGUGAAAUGCUUAGAUAUCACGAAGAACUCCGAUCGCGAAGGCAGGUGUCCGGGCUGCAACUGACGCUGAGGCUCGAAAGUGUGGGUAUCAAACAGGAUUAGAUACCCUGGUAGUCCACACAGUA
This 808-nucleotide ribosomal RNA is filed under the name uncultured bacterium. RNAcentral describes it as "bacterial SSU rRNA". It matches the Rfam family "Bacterial small subunit ribosomal RNA", at positions 1 to 804 of the family's 1533-position model. The record is from RNAcentral.